This 413-nucleotide ribosomal RNA is filed under the name uncultured bacterium. RNAcentral's name for it is "bacterial SSU rRNA". It matches the Rfam family "Bacterial small subunit ribosomal RNA", at positions 505 to 916 of the family's 1533-position model. The record is from RNAcentral.
GUGUCAGCCGCCGCGGUAAUACGUAGGGCGCGAGCGUUGUCCGGAUUUAUUGGGCGUAAAGAGCUCGUAGGCGGUUUGUUGCGUCUGCUGUGAAAACGCGGGGCUUAACUUCGCGCGUGCAGUGGGUACGGGCAGGCUAGAGUGCGGUAGGGGAGAUUGGAAUUCCUGGUGUAGCGGUGGAAUGCGUAGAUAUCAGGAGGAACACCGAUGGCGAAGGAAGGUCUCUGGGCCGUUACUGACGCUGAGGAGCGAAAGCGUGGGGAGCAAACAGGAUUAGAUACCCUGGUAGUCCACGCCGUAAACGAUGAGUACUAGGUGUAGGAGGUAUCGACCCCUUCUGUGCCGCAGUAAACACAAUAAGUACUCCGCCUGGGAAGUACGAUCGCAAGAUUAAAACUCAAAUGAAUUGACGG